CCCUUAGAUGUUCUGGGCCGCACGCGCGCUACACUGACGAUGGCAACGAGUUUUUCCUUCGCCGAAAGGUGUGGGUAAUCUUUUGAAACAUCGUCGUGCUGGGGAUAGAUCAUUGCAAUUUUUGAUCUUGAACGAGGAAUUCCUAGUAAGCGCGAGUCAUCAGCUCGCGUUGAUUACGUCCCUGCCCUUUGUACACACCGCCCGUCGCGACUACCGAUUGAAUGGUUUAGUGAGGACUCCUGAUUGGCGCCGCCGCCCCGGCAACGGAGCAGCGGACUGCCGAAAAGUUGUUCAAACUUGAUCAUUUAGAGGAAGUAAAAGUCGUAACA
RNAcentral lists this ribosomal RNA (329 nucleotides) under uncultured eukaryote. Its description in RNAcentral is "partial 18S ribosomal RNA". It matches the Rfam family "Eukaryotic small subunit ribosomal RNA", at positions 1470 to 1796 of the family's 1831-position model. The record is from RNAcentral.